RNAcentral lists this long non-coding RNA (947 nucleotides) under Theobroma cacao (cacao). Its description in RNAcentral is "long non-coding RNA (TCAC_LNC000902)". Lineage: Eukaryota; Viridiplantae; Streptophyta; Magnoliopsida; Malvales; Malvaceae. The record is from RNAcentral.
AAUGAAAUGAUUUUAUAAAAUUGUCUUGAAAUUGAAAGAUGGUUUUGAAAAUGGAGUAAUUGGAGACUAAUUGUUGUGUUAUAAAUCAUGGUUUGAAUUGAAUGGCUUAUGAUAAUAUUGACAUGAAUGGUUGAAUUGGUAUUUGUGUUGAAAAUGUAUGAACUGUUGAUUUGCCUUGAGAGGCUGUAAAAUAAAAUAAUUGCCAUGUCAUGCUAUCGCAAAUUUUAUUGUAUGGUGGGCUUAACUUGCUGCAGUGGGCGGGUUCUGUGGAAUAACCUUUUUGAGGGGUACGAAAUCUCGUUAUAUUCAUACCUUGGUUGAGGAGGAGCGUAGGGUAACUCCAGAAGUAAAACUUUAGAGUUCACUUCAUGCCAAACCACCACGUGAGGAUGAAACUCAGCUAACGCCAAGAAACGACUAUGCUUUCAAAAUAAAAACAUGAUUUAUGCGUACAUGACUUUUUAACAGCCUUGGCGAACUCGAUUUGGAUAGCCCCAGGCCAAGGUAUCCCUGAUAACUGAGUAUGAGAAUGAUUUUGGCACGAGCCAAACUUUUCAAGAAAUCAUAAGCCUCGUUGUUUAUUGGGUGAAAUGAAUCUAAUUUAUCUUAUUAAAAUGAGUUCGAAAUGCUGUGAAUAAUUUUUAUGUUAAUCUAUUUUAUCUAUCUCCAUUUACUCAGCUUUAGAUAUUUUAGAUGAUAUUUGUUUACUCACUGAGAUUAUAUAAUCUCACCACCCUCCUUUCCACCCAUUUUAGGUUCAGGAUAGUCGGUAGAUAGGUCAUUUCGUUGAGGGCUACAGUUGGACUUGCAUCCUCAAAAACUGUAGGUUCAUAGCUUUCAUUACUUUUAGUCAUUCGAGGGCCCACAUGUCAUUGUUAAAUGUUUUGAAUACUUGGUUGCGUGUGCUACUUUAUAUAGGAAUUUAUUUUGCUUUUAUGCUGUAAAAA